This 254-nucleotide ribosomal RNA is filed under the name uncultured bacterium. Its description in RNAcentral is "partial 16S ribosomal RNA". It matches the Rfam family "Bacterial small subunit ribosomal RNA", at positions 524 to 776 of the family's 1533-position model. The record is from RNAcentral.
GACAUAGGUGGCGAACGUUAUCCGGAAUUAUUGGGCGUAAAGGGUGCGUAGGUGGUUUAAUAAGUUAUUGGUGGGAAACCGGGGCUCAACCCCGUGGAAGUCAGUAAUACUAUUAAACUAGAGGGUCGGAGAGGUUAACGGAAUUCUAUGUGUAGCGGUAAAAUGCUCAAAUAUAUAGAGGAACACCAAGUGGCGAAGGCAGUUAACUAUUCGGUUCCUGACAUUGAGGCACGAAAGCGUGGGGAGCAAGACGG